Long non-coding RNA from Herpailurus yagouaroundi (jaguarundi), 1855 nucleotides. RefSeq lists it as uncharacterized. The transcript is spliced from 2 exons. Lineage: Eukaryota; Metazoa; Chordata; Mammalia; Carnivora; Felidae. The record is from RefSeq and is a predicted model, not a curated record.
UCUGUCUCUCCCAAAAUAAAGAAAUAAACUUAAAAAAAAUAGGCCACAGACUCUUGCAUAUUCUCACCCCUAUUGCUUUGGAUGAAAAGCUGAAACUUGGAGACGUUAAAUGACUUCAACGAGGCCACACAUUAACAGAAGUGGAACUAGAAGUUUCCUCCCAGGCAGGAGAAUCCAGCUAAUAGGCCAGACUUCUCUGUCCAUGCAUCCAGGGUACUGCUGAUCCAGUUAGACUGACAAAUCCAUCAUGGCAGGGUUUUUAGGGUCAUUCCUCUAUUCAAUAAAUAUUUACAUAUUAAAGUGGGCAGUCCUACCAGGCCAGGAGACACGAUGAGGAGUCAAUUCAGGCGGUCUGCCUCCUAAGUGCAGGGGGACUUAAAAAGCUUCUUCAUCUGUGUAUGCAUAUUUGAGGCUGGGGGUGGGGCUGAGGGUGGGGCUGUCAGUGGCCGUGGGAGGUGGAGGUGAGAUAAGAUACGCUACUAGAGUGAAAGCAGACGAUAGCUUUUUGACAGUGUCACCUGAAUACAGCACGCUGCCCAAAGCAUGUGAGAUGAGCACGGGAAGGAGUGAGUGACCGUCGGGGACAAGCAGGAAUUUGGUUGAAGCUAUCAACAGCAACAACAGAACUCACUGCAGAGAAUGUCUGCUGGGGAGAAGAAUACCAGAAGAACCCAGAUACAUCACCCCAGGAAGGGGAGGAAUAAUACCCUUGUCACAGCCUCAUUGGUGGUGUCUCACCAUCGACCUUUGGCAAGUUGUGCUGGAAAGGGAUGGUCAGAGUUCCAAAGUGCAAUAUUAUAUUUCCAAUUAAAAUGUAAAAACAAACCUUUUUCAUAAAGCACAUUGGCCUCCGCGCUGGGAAGUGACUACAAAGCCCGUCGCUGAUUGAGAAAAGCUGAAAGCAGACACUGUAAUUGAUAAAGGAGAUAAGUCAAUCUGUGUCCUUUAAAGAAUAAUGAGUUCCAUUUUUCAUCAAAAAGAUCUCCUUGUGCCGAAGAAACAUUCUUUCAAUAAAUCUACUUAAUGGCUUUCCCUCCAAUGAUCUAUAACACUGCGCUUUGGAAGGAGCUCGGAGCAUCCUAGCGGGUUCCUGCAGGGGGCUGCAGGCCACCCAACAUUUGCAUUGCUAAUCUAACCCAAAGAAAACCCAAAGGGUUCCCAGGCAGGGCUGCGGUUCUGGGCCAAACAUCUGGAGGCUUUCCCGGGCUCUUCAGGCAGGUAGGUGGGACGGAAUUUUGAAAUAAAUAUCCCCCCACUAAACUUGAGGUCCUCUGCGAACGUACCUCUCCCGCGCCUACCACCACGGCUCUGCUGUGUCAGGGAUACCUCAGCCAUGAGGAUGGCUCACGUCAGAGAGCUCAAGAGUUAAAUGUUUCAGAUAUUUGGGUUGUGAGAACUGAUUAGCUCGUUUGUUCCCUGGGCUCAUCACUCCCCUACAGCCCUGACGGCCUUGGUGUUGUUCUGACCGUGGGCUGCAGGAGGUAGCCCGUGUUUAUUGUGUUUGGUAAACUGAAGAUCCACUUUAAAGCCCCUGCCCGAAGUGGUGCUGCGUACGGGCCUGUUCCCCACCCGGCUGAGGGCCUAAGCCUCAGGUGGUAAAAGGCAGAGCAGAAGAAACAGCCUGUCCCCUUCGAAGGCAAUGAUUCAGGGCUCUCCGCACCCUGGCGCGAGGCAGCAGGACGUAUCGUUCAGCUUGGCUUACCUUGUGAACCCCAACUUUACAAAUGCGCUGAUCUCCACCAGGACCCAGCUUUAUGUAACGAAACCUAUUUCCUCCGAGGGCACCGGCCCUCCCAACACUGGCAGACUUCCCCACAUGGGAAUCAUUAAAAACAACCUUCGAGUUAUUUCCUUA